UACGUAGGGCGCAAGCGUUGUCCGGAAUUAUUGGGCGUAAAGAGCUCGUAGGCGGUCUGUCGCGUCCGUUGUGAAAACUCGAGGCUCAACCUCGGGCUUGCAGUGGAUACGGGCAGGCUAGAGUUCGGCAGGGGAGACUGGAAUUCCUGGUGUAGCGGUGAAAUGCGCAGAUAUCAGGAGGAACACCGGUGGCGAAGGCGGGUCUCUGGGCCGAUACUGACGCUGAGGAGCGAAAGCGUGGGGAGCGAACAGG
RNAcentral lists this ribosomal RNA (253 nucleotides) under uncultured bacterium. RNAcentral describes it as "partial 16S ribosomal RNA". It matches the Rfam family "Bacterial small subunit ribosomal RNA", at positions 524 to 776 of the family's 1533-position model. The record is from RNAcentral.